GUGUCUGUCUGUAUGUAUGUGUAUGUAUGUAUGUAUGUUAUAGGCAGCCCACAGCGGAAGAGGCUGUGUACCAGGUCACCAGUGUGUGUGUGUGUGUAUGUAUGUAUGUAUGUUAUAGGCAGCCCACAGCGGAAGAGGCUGUGUACCAGGUCACCACUAGGUAUGUAAAUGAGGGAAUCGAUGUACCUUUUGAAUGGACGACAGUGGGAGAUGAUCUAGUGAUCCGGGUCUAAAAACAGACAGCUGAUCAGUAGUUAAAGAAGAGGCAGUCGGUCUGUGAGGACAGGACAGGAAAUGGGGAAAACACACACAUACACGGUUGUCACAGGACCCGUUUCCCCAACACAGAUUAAGCCUAUAAUCCCGGACUACGAGACACGUUCAAUGGAGAAGGAGGACGAAGUGGGCUUUAAUCUGUGUCCGGGAAAACGUUCCUCCUAGCAUCACAUUUCACAUGUCAACGUUAAAACAGGAAGUUGGGGUCUCUAAGUUACAGUUAGGCACAUUCUAAGCCAUAAAACAGAGGAGGGUAACCUGGUCUAAUCUAAUCCUGUCUACAUCGUUUAUUGUUCUCUCCCAUAACAUAGUAUCAUUGAGAGCUACUGGGAAUUUUGCAAUCCGAGACACUUUGGUGAGAGAGAGUACAGUUUGUGUCCUCUUGCCUCUGACUCCCGGGGUCAUUCCUCCACUUGGCCUCUAGGUGGAGCCCUCUCUCCAAACAGCACAGCUCGUCAUCGGGGAAGGAGACAGAAGGGAUCUAUAAAGGAGGUCCCUCUAUACACAACACAGAAAGACCCCUGGAGGUUAACUGGACUGUGUACGUAUGGAUGGACACGUGUGUUUGGACAUGUAUGUGUGAAUCGACGUUUACCGCAGGUGGAAAAGGUAACAAAACUAAAAAUACUUUUCUGGAAAAAAUACAUUUUCUUCUUCUUCUUUUUAUUAUUUUUAAAGUCAACAUGUUGUAUUAAAUGAAAUGCAGCGUCUGAAUAUAUUACAGGCCUAUGCCCGUGUUAUAGAGAGAGAGGUUCAUAAGCCAUACACCGGCUAGACUACGGCUCUGACAGUAUUCAGCCCGUGUUAUAGAGAGAGGUUCAUAAGCCAUACACCGGCUAGACUACGGCUCUGACAGUAUUCAGCCCGUGUUAUAGAGAGAGGUUCAUAAGCCAUACACCGGCUAGACUACGGCUCUGACAGUAUUCAUACAGAGUUUUUAAAAAGUCUGCCAUCUUUUGAGGGAUGGAGAAACGGGGAGGAAUUCAAGCAAAGCCACAUUGCAGGAUUUCACACAGUAGCAAACAGACCACGAACUCAUUGCACGGAGGACAGAGUGUCUGCAGGUUUUCGCUCCAACCCUCGUUCUUGCUGGAGGAAUUAAGGUCACUAAUUAAUUAGGAUCUCCCUUCAUCUGGUUGUCUAGGUUUUAAUUGAAUUGGGGAAAAACAAAAACAGACAGACACUCGACCCUCGGUAGAAUACAGGAGGCUGUAGCUGAAUGGACCUGGGUACUCUAGAAUACAGGAGGCUGUAGCUGAAUGGACGUGGGUACGGUAGAAUACAGGAGGCUGUAGCUGAAUGGACGUGGGUACUCUAGAAUACAGGAGGCUGUAGCUGAAUGGACGUGGGUACUGUAGAAUACAGGAGGCUGUAGCUGAAUGGACGUGGGUACUGUAGAAUACA
Molecule: long non-coding RNA, 1680 nt
Organism: Oncorhynchus tshawytscha (Chinook salmon)
Lineage: Eukaryota; Metazoa; Chordata; Actinopteri; Salmoniformes; Salmonidae
Source: Ensembl